AGGGCACAUGGCGGAUGCCUUGGCUCUCGGAGGCGAUGAAGGACGUGAUAAGCUGCGAUAAGCUGCGGGUAGGUGCAAAUGACCUUUGAUCCGCGGAUUUCCGAAUGGGACAACCCGGUACUUUGAAGAAGUAUCAUCCUGCAUUGCAGGAGGCUAACGCAGGGAACUGAAACAUCUUAGUACCUGCAGGAAAAGAAAAUAAACAAUGAUUCCCCCAGUAGUGGCGAGCGAACGGGGAACAGCCCAAACCAUCCAUGUUACGGCAUGGGUGGGGUUGUAGGACCACGCCGUGGCAAGAAAGUUGGUGAGCAGAAUGUUCUGGAAAGUACAGCCAUAGAGCAUGACAGCUGCGUAUGCGAAGCCAAGCGAAGCCUAGUGGUAUCCUGAGUAGCGCGGAGCACGAGGAAUUCUGCGUGAAUCUGCCGGGACCAUCCGGUAAGGCUAAAUACUCCCGAGAGACCGAUAGUGAACCAGUACUGUGAAGGAAAGGUGAAAAGCACUUCGAACAGAAGAGUGAAAUAGUUCCUGAAACCAUGUGCCUACAAGCGGUCGGAGCACCUUCUGGUGUGACGGCGUGCCUUUUGCAUAAUGAACCUACGAGUUACUUUUUCCGGCGAGGUUAAGGAUUUCAGAUCUGCAGCCGAAGCGAAAGCGAGUCUGAACAGGGCGUAUAGUCGGAAGGAGUAGACGCGAAACCAAGUGAUCUACCCUUGGGCAGGUUGAAGGAUGGGUAACACCAUCUGGAGGACCGAACCAAUAAGCGUUGAAAAGCUUCUGGAUGACCUGAGGGUGGGGGUGAAAGGCUAAUCAAACUUGGAGAUAGCUCGUACUCCCCGAAAUGCAUUUAGGUGCAGCCUUGACUUAUACUGGCAUGAGGUAGAGCGACUGAUAAGAUGCGAGGGCUUCACCGCCUAUCAAGUCUUGACAAACUCCGAAUGCGUGUCAGUUCUAUGUCAGGAGUGAGGGCAUGGGUGCUAAGGUCCAUGUCCUAAAGGAGAACAAUCCGGACCAACAGCUAAGGUCCCGAAAUGAAUACUAAGUUGAACUAACGAAGUCAGAUUGCUAAGACAGCUAGGAUGUUGGCUUGGAAGCAGCCAUUCAUUUAAAGAGUGCGUAACAGCUCACUAGUCGAGGAGUUUGGCGUGGAUAAUAAUCGGGCAUAAGUAUUCUACCGAAGCUUUGGGAUGAGAAAUCAUCGGUAGGGGAGCAUUCCACUCGGCGUCGAAGGUGAGGCGUGAGCCUUGCUGGAGCGUGUGGAAAAGCAAAUGUAGGUAUAAGUAACGAUAAGGCAGGCGAGAAACCUGCCCGCCGAAAGACUAAGGUUUCCUGAUCAACGCUAAUCGGAUCAGGGUAAGUCGGGUCCUAAGGCUCAGCCGAACGGCGAGGCCGAUGGCAGAACCGGUUAAUAUUCCGGUACUACCUGUGGGAGUGACGUGGAGACGGAGUCGUGACAGCGCCGCGGACUGACGGAAUAGUCCGUUGAAGGGUGUAGAUGCUGAUUGUUCCAGGCAAAUCCGGAGCAAGAGUCGAACCUGACAGUAUGGAGCGUUCUUAGAACAAUCCAAUAGUGCGUGUAAUCAUACUUCCAAGAAAAUCCGCUAAACUUAAUCCUGCAGGUACCCGUACCGCAAACGGACACACGUAGUCGGGUUGAAUAUACUAAGGCGCUUGAGUGAUUCACGGUUAAGGAACUAGGCAAACUGACCCUGUAACUUCGGGAUAAAGGGUCCUCGCUUUACGGCGAGGCGCAGAGAAUAGGUCCAGGCAACUGUUUAACAAAAACACAGGGCUGUGCAAAAUUGAAAGAUGAAGUAUACAGCCUGACACCUGCCCGGUGCUGGAAGGUUAAGAGGAGAUGUCAUCGCAAGAGAAGCAUUGAAUUGAAGCCCCAGUAAACGGCGGCCGUAACUAUAACGGUCCUAAGGUAGCGAAAUUCCUUGUCGGGUAAGUUCCGACCUGCACGAAUGGUGUAAUGAUCUGGACGCUGUCUCAACCGUGAGCUCAGUGAAAUUGUAGUAUCGGUGAAGAUGCCGAUUACCCGCGAUGGGACGAAAAGACCCCGUGAACCUUUACUAUAGCUUAACAUUGAAUUUGGGUAAUUGAUGUGUAGGAUAGGCCGGAGGCUU
Molecule: ribosomal RNA, 2126 nt
Filed under: gut metagenome
Description: bacterial LSU rRNA
Rfam family: Bacterial large subunit ribosomal RNA
Source: RNAcentral